This 75-nucleotide transfer RNA is filed under the name Sphingorhabdus sp. RNAcentral describes it as "tRNA-Cys". It matches the Rfam family "tRNA". From Rfam's summary of the family: Transfer RNA (tRNA) molecules are approximately 80 nucleotides in length. Their secondary structure includes four short double-helical elements and three loops (D, anti-codon, and T loops). RNAcentral also lists the same sequence under 5 other names. Lineage: Bacteria; Pseudomonadati; Pseudomonadota; Alphaproteobacteria; Sphingomonadales; Sphingorhabdaceae. The record is from RNAcentral.
GGCGGCGUAGCCAAGUGGUAAGGCAGAGCUCUGCAAAAGCUUUAUUCAUCGGUUCGAUUCCGAUCGCCGCCUCCA